UGGUUCGUAGCUCAAUGGUAGAGCAUCCGACUGUUAAUCGGAGGGUUGUAGGUUCGAGUCCUAUCGUUCCAGCCA
This 75-nucleotide transfer RNA is filed under the name Lachnospiraceae bacterium 7_1_58FAA. Its description in RNAcentral is "tRNA-Asn". It matches the Rfam family "tRNA". From Rfam's summary of the family: Transfer RNA (tRNA) molecules are approximately 80 nucleotides in length. Their secondary structure includes four short double-helical elements and three loops (D, anti-codon, and T loops). Lineage: Bacteria; Bacillati; Bacillota; Clostridia; Lachnospirales; Lachnospiraceae. The record is from RNAcentral.